This is a long non-coding RNA of Gallus gallus (chicken), 1270 nucleotides long. RefSeq lists it as uncharacterized. The transcript is spliced from 4 exons. Lineage: Eukaryota; Metazoa; Chordata; Aves; Galliformes; Phasianidae. The record is from RefSeq and is a predicted model, not a curated record.
GACCUUGAAUGUGAAUGAGUCAAAGGCACCCUGUUGUGCUCACGUUAAUUACAAGGGGGAGGUCCAGGAACUGGGCAGGGUAGAAGUGGAGCAGGACAUCUGUGUCCUCAGGAGGAUCCUGUGGUUCCAGCAGAAACCACUGAAGUACGUAAGAGUCCUUUAAUUAGAAGAUUUACUUGUCGUCUCAGAAUUCAAAUUACAUGCUUUGUUGUGCCUAAUUGGGUGGCUGCUCUUCAGAGUCACAGCGCCUAUUCUUGAAGCAGGUAGCAGGUCUUUAAACAGAAAAGGUCAUAUUUUGAGAAGUGAAAUGAGAACCCAGCCCUCUUUGCAAAAAAUGUGGAUUACUGGCUUUGUGUUUAAACCAGUUAUUCUAAGAACGUGAACAGUCUUGAGAUCACUUGCUUAUCUUCCAACCCAAAACUGUACGAAAGGAACCUCCUCUCGGGGAAGUCCUAUCUGUGAUCAGAACUCCAUCUGGAUUCCUGCUGUCUGCACACAAACAUAGUGCCACUUGAGAUAUCUAGACACCCAAGACUUCCUGACAGGCCUGGCAGAUAUGACACAGGAUCUGCAGGAGAACUCCAUCUUUCUCGAAUGUUAGCUGGAAACCAGGAAGGAUAGCCUCAGGAAACCCUAUAAAAUACUAAAGAGCUAUGGAUUCUGAUUUUCUUUUGACAUUGUAAUUUAUUAUUAAACACGUGUUGGACUCUACAUAUUUGGGGAAUAGAAAGCAUCUGAAGUGACUGAUUUUGCUUUCUUGUCAGAAAAGAAAAUACUGCAACAAGUUAUUUAGGAAAAUGGCAACUAGACUCUUCCCCUAACACACAGUCUAAGAAUAAUUUAUUUGAUAAGCCAUGUUUGGUCUUGGAUAGCUUUACAUAUGUUGUUGGUGAUGAGGAGGACCUAGAUAAAAAGAUAAGUAAGUGUUAUUGAGAAUUAGCGAGGAUUUUCCUUUUUUCUAAUUCUGGAGGUUGUAUUCACAAGACUGUUCUGUUCCAACUUAUGACAUGAAAUGGAGACUUUUCAGGUACAACAGAAGACAAGGACAAAUGGGAGAUAACUGUGUAAAUACAAAAUACCCAUCACAGCUCAUCACUGGAUCCCAGUGCCUACUACAAUGAUGCCUCACAAUUUCAGUAGUCCUGUGGCCAAAAAGAUUACUUGUAUCCUAGUUUCCUGACACUGAUGGUAACUAAGACAAAAUUACUUGUAUCCAUAUUACUAUACUCUCACAGUCUUCACAGAAAGAUGGCUGCAUUAAGACUGUUCA